This 73-nucleotide transfer RNA is filed under the name Euplotes vannus. RNAcentral describes it as "tRNA-Met". It matches the Rfam family "tRNA". Rfam says of the family: Transfer RNA (tRNA) molecules are approximately 80 nucleotides in length. The record is from RNAcentral. Lineage: Eukaryota; Ciliophora; Spirotrichea; Euplotida; Euplotidae.
GAUAACGUAGCUUAACCGGUAAAGCUUAAAUUUCAUACAUUUAAAGAUGUAGGUUCAAAUCCUAUCGUUAUCA